Molecule: unclassified non-coding RNA, 305 nt
Filed under: Hevea brasiliensis (rubber tree)
Lineage: Eukaryota; Viridiplantae; Streptophyta; Magnoliopsida; Malpighiales; Euphorbiaceae
Source: RNAcentral
AAAAAAAAAAAAUUGAAGAAGUACUUCGUAAUUAGCAAAAUUUAAACUAUAACAGCUUAACCCCUAAAAAUAAGAACCUAAUUGCAACCCAAAUUUUUCUUUAGAGAUUUCCAGGAAAAACCAUGAACUAGUUAUCAUUUAAAGUUUUGUUUACUUGAGAAAAACAGUGCUUCAUUUUUUUUCCCUACAUUUUUCAUUUGUAUUAUUCAAAUCAUUUCUCCUUCAAAAAAAUGUUUACCUGAUGAAAAUAGAUGACUGUUUCUGUGUCUGGGAGUUUGAAAACUAGUAAAUACGUGCAGCAUAUA